Molecule: non-coding RNA, 293 nt
Organism: Schizosaccharomyces pombe (fission yeast)
Lineage: Eukaryota; Fungi; Ascomycota; Schizosaccharomycetes; Schizosaccharomycetales; Schizosaccharomycetaceae
Source: the annotation of a GenBank genome assembly
GAUACGAAGUUUUUAGAUUGACUAAAGUUAUAUUCAUUUGCUAACGAUAGGCAUCAAUGACAAAACAAUAUAAUAUACAUCAAACAACGUCCAUAAAUGCUAUUUAACAUACCGAGUAAAUGAAAUAAUGACAAAAGCAAGCCUCUAACAAAACAAAUAAAGAAAAAGAAAGAGUCAAUUAAUACAAAUAAUGAGAAUAAAACACAAGUAUCGCCGCUGUUGCUUCAACAACGACGUACGAGUUGGAUGUAUUGUUCACAGUGUAGAGGAUCGAAUCUAGGGUCUAUAAAACA